Molecule: ribosomal RNA, 963 nt
Filed under: Acinetobacter sp.
Lineage: Bacteria; Pseudomonadati; Pseudomonadota; Gammaproteobacteria; Moraxellales; Moraxellaceae
Description: bacterial SSU rRNA
Rfam family: Bacterial small subunit ribosomal RNA
Source: RNAcentral
CGUGUGGAAGAAGGCCUUAUGGUUGUAAAGCACUUUAAGCGAGGAGGAGGCUACUUUAGUUAAUACCUAGAGAUAGUGGACGUUACUCGCAGAAUAAGCACCGGCUAACUCUGUGCCAGCAGCCGCGGUAAUACAGAGGGUGCAAGCGUUAAUCGGAUUUACUGGGCGUAAAGCGCGCGUAGGCGGCUAAUUAAGUCAAAUGUGAAAUCCCCGAGCUUAACUUGGGAAUUGCAUUCGAUACUGGUUAGCUAGAGUGUGGGAGAGGAUGGUAGAAUUCCAGGUGUAGCGGUGAAAUGCGUAGAGAUCUGGAGGAAUACCGAUGGCGAAGGCAGCCAUCUGGCCUAACACUGACGCUGAGGUGCGAAAGCAUGGGGAGCAAACAGGAUUAGAUACCCUGGUAGUCCAUGCCGUAAACGAUGUCUACUAGCCGUUGGGGCCUUUGAGGCUUUAGUGGCGCAGCUAACGCGAUAAGUAGACCGCCUGGGGAGUACGGUCGCAAGACUAAAACUCAAAUGAAUUGACGGGGGCCCGCACAAGCGGUGGAGCAUGUGGUUUAAUUCGAUGCAACGCGAAGAACCUUACCUGGCCUUGACAUAGUAAGAACUUUCCAGAGAUGGAUUGGUGCCUUCGGGAACUUACAUACAGGUGCUGCAUGGCUGUCGUCAGCUCGUGUCGUGAGAUGUUGGGUUAAGUCCCGCAACGAGCGCAACCCUUUUCCUUAUUUGCCAGCGAGUAAUGUCGGGAACUUUAAGGAUACUGCCAGUGACAAACUGGAGGAAGGCGGGGACGACGUCAAGUCAUCAUGGCCCUUACGGCCAGGGCUACACACGUGCUACAAUGGUCGGUACAAAGGGUUGCUACCUAGCGAUAGGAUGCUAAUCUCAAAAAGCCGAUCGUAGUCCGGAUUGGAGUCUGCAACUCGACUCCAUGAAGUCGGAAUCGCUCAGUACAUCGCGGAUUCAG